UCUGUUAAGAGGUACAUAGAGUGAUCCAGGAUUGAAUCACUAAACAGCAGUCGAAGUUAUCCUUAGUAACUAAUGGACUAAGGAUUUUUUUUCUCGAUUAUGGAGGUGGUUAAAAGAGUUCUUCGUAAAGGGUUACGUCGAUGCAAGCUUUGACACUAAUCCGAAUAACUAUGAGUAGUGAAACGGAUUCGUAUAGUAGAGUAGAUAUUUGGAGUAUUUACGAAUAGCACGUAGUAGCAACAUCUAUAAGAUGACAUAAAGAUUUGUAAAGAACACACGGAUCUGAAAGUUUUCAGACCCGCUGACUAAAACCUCUCUCACGAGCAAGACGUGAUCAGACCCCACAACUAUAUGGGUGUUGGAUUCGUUAGAAUCACAUGGUGAUGUGAACUAGAUUAUUGACUCUAGUGCAAGUGGGAGACUGUUGGAAAUAUGCCCUAGAGGCAAUAAUAAAUUAGUUAUUAUUAUAUUUCUUUGUUCAUGAUAAUCGUUUAUUAUCCAUGCUAUAAUUGUAUUGAUUGGAAACACAAUACUUGUGUGGAUACAUAGACAAAACACUGUCCCUAGUAAGCCUCUAGUUGACUAGCUCGUUGAUCAAAGAUGGUCAAGGUUUCCUGACCAUAGGCAAGUGUUGUCACUUGAUAACGGGAUCACAUCAUUAGGAGAAUCAUGUGAUGGACUAGACCCAAACUAAUAAAUGUAGCAUGUUGAUCGUGUCAUUUUGUUGCUAUUGUUUUCCUGCAUGUCAAGUAUUUGUUCCUAUGACCAUGAGAUCAUAUAACUCACUGGCACCGUAGGAAUACCUUGUGUGUAUCAAACGUCGCAACGUAACUGGGUGACUAUAAAGAUGCUCUACAGGUAUCUCCGAAGGUGUCCGUUGAGUUAGUAUGGAUCAAGACUAGGAUUUGUCCCUCCGUGUGACGGAGAGGUAUCUCGGGGCCCACUCGGUAAUACAACAUCACAACAAGCCUUGCAAGCAAUGUGACUAAGGAGUUAGUCACGGGAUUUUGUAUUACGGAACGAGUAAAAAAGACUUGUCGGUAAUGAGAUGGAACUAGGUAUAAAGAUACCGAUGAUCGAAUCUCGGGUAAGUAACAUAUCGAUGGACAAAGGGAAUAGUAUACGGGAUUAACUGAAUCCUUGACAUAGAGGUUCAACCAAUGAAGAACUCCAUAUAAUAUGCAGGAGCUAAUAUGGGCAUCCAGGUCUAGCUAUUGGUUAUUGACCGGAGAGUGUCUCGGUCAUGUCUGCAUGGUUCUCGAACCCGCGGGGUCUGCACACUUAAGGUUCGAUGACGUUUCGAUAUAGUUGAGUUAUGUAUGUUGGUGACCAAAAGUUGUUCGGAGUCCCGGAUGAGAUCCCGGACGUCACGAGGAGUUUCGGAAUGGUUCGGAUACGAAGAUUGAUAUAUAGGAAGAGGAUAUUUGGGAUCCGGAAUGGUUUCGGGCGUUUUCAAUAGUGUACCGGGAAUGGCGAAUGGGUUCCGGAGGUCCAUCGGGAGAAGUCCACCCACCCCAGACGGGCCACAUGGGCCUAAGAGGUGGCGUACCAGCCCUUAGUGGGCUGGUCAGCGAGCCCCUGAAGGCCCUUGCGCCAAGGAGGUGGGAGGAGGCCAAGUUGGGAGGGAAUCCUACUAGGAGUAGGACUCCAUCUCCCUUAGUGGAGGAGGAUUCCUCCUCUCUUGGUGCACCACCCCUUCCCCUUCCUCCUAUAUAUACCAGAGGGGAGAGAGGGCAGCCAAUACCUUAUUCCAAGGCGCAACCCCUCUCCCUCCCUCUAGUUCAUUCUUCCUCUAGAUUAGGUUCAGCAGUGCACGACGAAGCCGUGCCGGAUCAGCUCCACCACCAUCGCCUCCACGCCGUUAGGCUGUCAGAGAACGCAGCUACCUCUCUGCACCUCUUGCUGGAUCAAGAAGGCGGAGAUCGUCAUCGAGCUGUACGUGUGCUGAACACGGAUGUGCAGUCACUUCGGCACUAGAUCGGGAUGGAUCGUGAUGAGUUCACGGGACGGAUCGUGAUGGGAUCGCGGGAUGGAUUGCGAUUUGGAUCGCGGUCUCGGUCGCUUUCAAGACGACCGCCCGAGUGGACAGCUGCAAUCGACUACACGAUUCUAGGCAUUUUUUACAUUGAUGCCAAACAAAUAUAUUGUUAAAACAAAGGGACUGAUAUGCGUUCUCCCGUGAACGUGUGAUAUGCAUCCACCACCUCGACAGCCGUUCGAUCCAUGCGCGGACAGUGUGCGAUCGAUCUCCUGUCAUGCCUCGCUUGUCCCAUCCCCGCUUAUUAAGUCCUGCAACAACGAUUUUUGUUGCAGAAACAUUUAUAACACAGAUUCUGUUACAUAUUCCCGCAACAACGGCUUUGUUGAAGAAACAUUUAUAACAUAGACUGUGUUGUAGAUUCCCGCAAUAACGACUUUGUUGCAGAAUCAUUUAUAACACAGAAUGCGUUGCGGAAUUUUUGUGCAACAAAGGUUGCGUUGCAAAAAAAAUUGCAACACAUGUUGUGUUGUGGAUUUUUUUGAACAAAGAUAUUGUUCCAGAAACACCACCCCUGUUGCGUGCCUCGAGCGCGUCAUUGUCGGCCGCAAAAAAGCAAUAGCAUUGUUGUUCCUCAUCGUGUGUAGAAGCACGCGGAUAGUCAUGCCUCGCGUGAGAAGAAACUUGAAGGGGAGGAUGACAUGGGCCUACCUUGCCGGUGAACGAUGGUUGCCGGCGCGGGCCGGUGGCAAGCAGGGAAUGACAUACGGGAUUAUAUGAAUCCUUGGCACUGAGGUUCAAGCGAUAAGAUCUUCAUAGAAUAUGUAGGAUCCAAUAUGGGCAUCCAGGUCCCGCUAUUGGAUAUUGACCGAGGAGUCUCUCGGGUCAUGUCUACAUAGUUCUCGAACCCGCAGGGUGUGCACACUUAAGGUUCGACGUUGUUUUAUGCGUAUUUGAGUUAUAUGGUUGGUUACCAAAUGUUGUUCGGAGUCCCGUAUGAGAUCAUGGACGUCACGAGGGUUUCCGGAAUAGUCCAGAAACGAAGAUUGAUAUAUAGGAUGACCUCAUUUGAUUACCGGAAGGUUUUCGGAGUUACCGGGAAUGACGAAUGGGUUCCGGGAGUUCACCGGGGGGGCAACCCACCCCGGGGAAGCCCAUAGGCCUUGGGGGUGGCGCACCAGCCCUUAGUGGGCUGCUGGGACAGCCCAGGAAGGCCCUAUGCGCCAUAGGAAGAAAAUCAAAGAGAAAAGAAAGNNNNNNNNNNNNNNNNNNNNNNNNNNNNNNNNNNNNNNNNNNNNNNNNNNNNNNNNNNNNNNNNNNNNNNNNNNNNNNNNNNNNNNNNNNNNNNNNNNNNAGCAGGUCGCGCGCGCCUCGCCGCCUGAUCCGACGCGACGGGUCAGCCCCGUCCCUCGUCUCGCAAGCCGCAAGCACAAGGCUGUCGUCCACCUCCAUCGGCCCGCAGGCCUGCACCACCUCGGUUCCUGCCCCGUCCGGCGCCUCUCCUCUCGCCUGUGGCCUCCCUCGCUUGAGCACGUGCACCAACAAACAAGUGCAUCGUGUACGCCCCGCCUCGAUCCCUACGGCCAGCAGCGUCGUGCGUGACACCGUGACAGCGUCGCCGCCGUGGCAGGGGUCACUCCGUCCCCGCUGUCGCUGUGACUUACGGUGGCCGUGGCAGGCACCGACACGGCCCCGGCAGAGUUCUCUUUUGAUCCCACCCGGCCGGCCGGUAGGGUCGACGCCCCUCAUCUCUCCGUGCGGAAAAAGAAGGAGGGGACAGACUGACGAGCCAGCAGCAGAUCGGCCAGCGAAACAAGUGCAAAAAGGCGGGAACGGGGAUCCGAUACGGCAACAAGCGGACAAACGCAGCGCAGAGAGGGUUUCGCCAUUGCCAUGCAAACCCCGACCCACUUUGACCGCCCCGCCCCGUCCCGUCCGUCCGUCCGUCCACUCCCACGCCGCUCCACGUUCUUCCCCUCGAAUGCGACGAGUACCUCGCCAGUCCACGGGGUGCUUCGCCUGCCGACCCAUCCCAUCGCCCAUCAGCCAUCUUCUUGGCCAAGCUUUCGGCGCGGGUCAUCUCACCUCACACCGCCCGCUGCUCUUCCUCCUUCCCUUCCCUAUGCCUGCGCUGCUCUGCUCCGCUCCGCUCCGGUCCUAUAUUUUAAUGGAAGAAUAUCGGGGGAAGGCGUGAGGGAGUGGUUGAACUGAAAACCGGUUGACGCUCGACGCAGCAGCAGCGUGGCGCCCGAGAAGCACGCGGUUCACUGCGCUGCCGCAGGCUUUUUCUCCCCCCGGCUGGCUGGCUGGCUUCUUGGCUCGACCGCGCUCGCUCGCUUCCCCUCCCAUCCCAUUCCCACAUGCCCACGGAAAAGGGAAUGGCCGCCUUCUGGGGUUUCUUACAGGACGACGGCGGCGGACCUGCGCCCGACAUGAACGAGUUCCCCUACUACUCCGCCGCCGACCUCGCGUCCUGGCCGCCUUCCUCCCUCGCGCCGGUACGCGCCCCCUUCUUCUUCCUCCACCUGCUGCUUGGGGUUUCUACUUCGCGUGGUCCGGUCCGGCGAUUGCCAAAGGCGUGCCUUUUCUUUAAUUUCCUUGAUCCCUCUCCCGUGGCUAACCGCAGGCCGGCGCCGUCGUGAAGGCGGAGAGCGGGAGCCCGUCGAUGAUCGACCACCUCCACGCCGUCUCCGGAGCCGAUUUCGGCGGCGGCGGCGGCGAGGACGACGAGGUCGCGCCGGAGCUCGGCCAGCAGCGCCUCGAGCGCAAGAGGCCCCCCCACGGCCGCCACACGCCGCAGCAGAUCCAGGAGCUCCAGGCGUACGCGCACGUCCCCACCCAUACAUACAUCAAAAUAAGUUGAUGCCGUGUCCGCUUCUUUGAUCAUGCUCAUGCAUGCCGGUGUUCAUCGGUGCAGGUUGUUCAAUCAAUGCCCCCACCCCGACGAGAAGCAGCGGGCGGCGGUGGGCAAGAGGGUCUGCCUCCGGCCGAGCCAGGUCAAGUUCUGGUUCCAGAACCGCCGCACGCAGAUCAAGGUAAUUAUCCAAUUUAAUCUAAUCGAGCGCUCCAACACUCUCGGUCCUUUACUUGGUUUGCGCGUCGAGUGCCAUUGUUGGCAAUGCUGAUUCCUCUCUGUGGUGGUUGAUCUUGCAAGAGGGAAUCGCUGCAGCACGAGAACAAGCAGUUGAGGGAGGAGAACGGCAAGCUGCGCGCCGAGAACUUGUCCCUCCGGGAGGCGAUGACGCGUCCGGUGUGCGGCUGCUGUGGUGGCCCGGUCCCGGCGAUGCUUGAGGACUCGCCGUCCCUGGAGGAGGAGCGCCUGCGCGUCCAGAACGCCACGCUCAGGAUCGAGCUCAGCCGAUCCUGCGCCCUCGCUUCCGCGUUCCUCGGCAGGUCCGUUUCUUCCGUGGCGGCGCCACCCACGCCAGGCUCGCCAGUGGACCGUAUUGGCUCAGUGCCGGCGACCACCGUGGCCCACUCGACGGUCACCGAGUUCACGGGCAGUCCCUCCAGCCAAACAGUGGAAAUGGCGGUCACGACCAUGGCGAAGGCUGGCAUCGACGAGUCCGUUUUCCUGGAGCUUGCGACGAGUGCAAUGGAUGAGCUCGUCAAGAUGGCGCAGAUGGAUGAGCCGUUGUGGAUUCCAAAUGCCCUCUUGCCCGGUUCCCUUGUCAAGGCGACGCUCAACCAUGAAGAGUACUUGAAGACCUUCUCGCCGUCCAUAGGGGUGAAGCCUCCGGGGUUUGUAUCAGAGGCCUCUAGGGAAUCCGGCAUUGUAGCCAGUGACGGCAGCUUCGAGCUUGUGGAGACUCUGUUGGAUGAGGUUGUCCUCGUCUCACCAUGCCCCCCAUCUUGUUGCUAUUGCCUCAUUACAUGUAUGUCUGAACUUACAUUGCCUGCUUUGAAAUCUUGCUUCAGAGACAGUGGUCCAGUUUCUUCUCGUGCAUAAUCGCCGAAUCAUCGACAAUCGAGGAGAUCUCUACUGGAGCUGCAGGAAGUAGAGAUGGUGCAUUGCUGCUUGUGAGUGUCGUGUUGAUCAGUCUCUAGUGUCCAUAUGCACGUCUUAUAGUUACUUAACUGUACUCGCAUCUAAGUGUUUCGUCUAUCAUUGCAACAGAUGCAGGCAAAGCUGCAGGUUCUUUCACCUCUUGUCCCUAUCAGGGAGGUCACCUUUCUCAGGUUCUGCAAACAGUUGGGUGAGUGUUUAUGGGCUGUAGUGGAUGUUUCCAUUGAUGGGUUGGUGAUGGAGCAAGGCCUUGCCGUGGCAUCCACCGCUGCAAAUAUGAAGUGCCGGAGGCUGCCUUCUGGCUGUGUGGUGCAAGAAAUCCCCAAUGGCUUCUGCAAGGUACACCAUCCAGUCUACAUUAACUUGUUCACAUCAUGUUCUUAGGUUGGCAAUUGAAAGCAAUGUUAGCAAUGCCUCUGUGUUCAUUGAUCAGUAACAGCUAUGCUAUUUAUUUGCCACUCCUAGUAGGCUACCACCAAAAUCAACCGUGCUAGUUCCACCGGUUUACCGCUCUAUGCAUACGGUGAUCAUCAGCUAGCUUAUUGCAAAAUGCAUGUUUGUUCCAGAUCUGCAUGACCGCAUGAGAAUGUUCUUUUCACAGUUUUUUUUUUUUGGUUUAGUGCGUUAUUGAGUGAUCACGGUGCAGUAUAGUACUCACAAGCCAAUAGGGUACGCUCAGUUUUUUCAAUAGAUUUAGUAACUGCGGUUGCUAGCCCACCACCUCAAGUUAGGUGAUCUCUUGUCGGCACAGAGAGGGUAAACAAGUGAUUUGUGAAUAAUUAACUGGAUUUAUAAUCCACUAUUUCUUCCCUAGCAUGCGCCUUUUCUUAGUUUAAUCUCGGGUCCAAUUCUUGAAGCGAAAAUCCUAUACUAACUGCCCACAAUACAUAUCAUCAAUUUGUCUCAUCGUCGAGAAUUUAAGAUCUUGACCACGUCGUCUAUUAUUUGUCUUCAUGGAAGAUACUUUUAGUCUUUGAAAGAGGAAGCUUCAGUUAUUUUUUGCACAUCUAAUUCACAUAUAUCAGCUUUUUUUCGUGCUAUCUGUCCAUAAGUUGACAAGGGUGCUAGACUGCUAGUUAUUUAUUUUAUGGGUUUCAUUAUGGCUGUCAUUCGUGUGGCGUAUCACAAAGGCCAGGCAUGUGAAGAAGGAUCAGCUGUUCGUAUAUCAAUCAUAUUGUGUGAUUCCGUGUUUAUCUUCCCUUCAUUGACUCAUCGUUUGCUAAUUAGAUGCAACCAACAGUGUGGGAAAAUGUGUCAAAUUGUAGUUUUAUUGGAAUGUAAUCAUUCAAUACAUGUUACUCCAUCCGUUCCUAAAUAUAAGUCUUUGAAGAGGUUUCACUAGAAGACUGCAUACGAAUGUAUAUAGACAUACUUUAGAAUGUACAUUCAUUCAUUUUACUCCGUAUGUAGUUACUUAGUGAAAUCUCUAAAAAGACUUAUAUUUAGGAACGGAGGGAGUACAAUGUAGGAGUUCAUGAUAGGUAAGUAUCUUGAGAUAGGAUUAGUCUAAAUUAUUCUCUUUUCUUUUUCAUGUUCAAUUACUUGGCCAAAAUAUUUCAGCAAAACGUAAAAACAUGAUUUGCUUGCACUAGUGUACCUGACACUAGUAGAAUUGCACUGCAGAGCUUGAAAAUGCUUUUGGGCAUGCAGUCAUGCACUUAGGUGCUAACAGAUGCAGUUGAAUAUACACUGCAGGUUACAUGGGUUGAACAUACAGUAUAUGACGAAUCCUCCAUUCACCAGCUCUACCGGCCUCUCCUUCGUUCUGGCCUUGCCCUUGGCGCAGGGCGUUGGCUUUCUACGCUACAGCGUCAGUAUGAGUGCUUGGACGUUCUCAUGCCGAAGCAAGACGCAUCAGGUAUGGAAAUAUGAUAAUGUCAGCACCUAUGUGGCAUGCUUUGCAUCGUAUUGCUUCCUUAGGAUUAAAAUUGCAAUGCGCCACAUAUGCCACAGAUGCCAUGUUGGAAGGAUCACGGAGCUUGCUGAGGUUAGCAGAGAGGAUGAUGGAGAACUUCUGUGCGGGGGUGGGCGCAUCUUCUGCUGAAUGGAGCAAACUGGAUGACUUCACGGGGAGCAUUGGGGAGGAUGUGCGUAUCAUGGCACGUAGGAGUGUGGAUGAACCAGGGGUGCCACCUGGUGGUGUGGUGGUGUGUGCUGCCACAUCGGUGUGGAUGCUUGUAACACCCAAACGGCUUUUCAACUUCCUGUGCAAUGAGGGAACGCGUGCUGAAUGGGACAUCCUAAGCAGGGGUGGCUCUAUGCAGGAGGUGACAAAAAUCUACAAGGGGCAACUGAAUGGCAACGCUGUAUCUCUACUUAAGGGCACUGUGAGUAUUAUCUAUCACUUCGCCUAGUUAGUUGUUGCUCCUUCUAUGCUUAUUAGAAACAUUGCGUGUUUAAUUGACUAGUAGUCGAGAGGCUUUUCAGCGAUCUAGAAGCUGAGCCCAUUCAGUGCUGUAAUCUUGGGAACAAUGCAUCACUUUCAAGCUUUCGAGAUUUGAGAAGAUAACAACACAUAUACCUAAAACGUGUUACUAUGCUCCGAAUGUUUGUUCAGAAGGUAUAACAAGUGUAUGUAUGGGUAAGGCAUGGUUAAUACUGAGCAUGGUGACAAAUAAGUGUGAAAUUGAGAGUUAUAGGGCGUGUUUGGUUAGAGGCCUGGCUAGUGUGCCUGAGAAAAUAAGGUGCCUGAAAAGAGCCUGGGAUGAUGCAAAAAUUUGCCUGGCCAGGCUAGCCUGCUACUCAUGUGUUUGGUUCCUGUCCUCGCCUGGCUGAUGUGAUUUGACUGCUUAAAGUAUUAGAAAAAUAGAUGUACAACUAGUUCUAGACAUAAACUAGACAUAUAUUCGAGGAAGACCAUAAGAUGUUUUCACCAGUCUAUUGACUAUUCCAAAACUAAAGUAGAUGUACUUUUAGGACUCAUGCAGUCAUGCUUGAAUUACUACAGUUAUACACAAAAUCAUGAAAUUUACUAGUGUACUAUGUUUAUCAAUAAAAGUACUCGACAUAAAUGACUUGUAUAAUUUUGUAAGUUUUUUUCCCCUCAGGCACGCACCCAAAUGUGUCGAUUUGUAGUACAAGAAAACAGCAAGAGACUGACGGUAGUAAGUAAAUCAGGAUGUCCUCUGGUAUCUAAGUUCUAUUCCGAAAUCAAAUUAGGUGUACUUUUAGGAUUCAUGCAGUCAAGCUGGCAUUACUACAGUUGUACACAAAAUCAUGAAAUUUACUACUCCCUCCGUCCCAAAAUAAGUGUCUUAACUUUGUACUAGCCCUAGUAUAAAGUUGUACUAAGCUCAGAGACAGUUAGUUUGGGACGGAGGGAGUAGUAUGUUUGUUAUCGGUGGAAGUGCUCGAAAUCAAGUCUCUAAACAAUAAUGGUCGGACAUGUUUUUUCUUUUGAAAGAAUUCAUGCAGUCAGCUGGAGACAUAUGAAGACGGCAAGGGAAUUCUUUGUUCUAAAUCUGUGUAAACUCGUCUAGUUUCUAUGAGCAUCUAUUGUGCCAUUUUGGGUCUUGGUCAUAAGCAUCAUCAUUGGCAGAAUGUUUUCGGCUUCAGGAUGUUAAUCGUGCAUGAUUUGUGUGACUAUUCUUCCUGUGCUCCCUUUUUUAUUUAUUAACCUCAACCCUAAAUACUGUCUAAUUUUUACAUGGUAUAGGCCCCAAACACCCACCAGGACAGCAGCAUUCUGGUCCUACAGGAGACCUGCAUGGAUGCAUCCGGCUCGAUGGUGGUGUACACCCCUGUGGACAUCCCGGCAAUGCGCCGUGUCAUGGGCGGAGAAGGUGACCCGGCGUCGAUCAUGCUCCUGCCAUCCGGUUUCGUCAUUCUGCCUAGCGUGCCUGGCGACGACGGUGGGCACAAGGCAUGCGGCUCCCUGCUCACCGUGGCGUUCCAGAUACUCGGGAGCAGGCAGCCCACUGGGAAGCUCACCGUGGAGUCGGUGCAGACCGUGGGCAGCCUCAUCUCCUGCACCAUCAACAGGAUCAAGACGGCGCUGCGCUGCGACGCCUGAGCUUCGGGAGAUGGGGGGACUUUUUGGCGUUGGAGGGAGCGGCCGGCGAUGGGUCUCGAGUCGAGAACGAACCGCGAAAAUAGGAGCGUGGCCUUUGCUAGGUGGUAAGGACCGGGCUGGGCAGGUCCUUAGCACAGAGCAAUGGUGGUGGUUCGGGUAUUGACUCGCAGUUCUCUCCCAUGACAUUCGCAUUUUGGACAGACAGUAAGAGCUUAACCACAGAGCAAUGGUGGACUGGUAGGUAGUGUUGGUAGCUAUGAGGUUCCAUGUUUUGGGGAUGGCAAGAUGUGAUGCUUUCUGCAGGAACUCGCUCAGAAUGGUCAUGUCCCGCCGUUGGUCAUAUGUUCGGUCUCCUUUUGAGCAAGUCUUUAGGUUCCGGGGGUGUCAUCUGGCAAGCAAUCAGUCAUCUACUAGUCUACUAGAAAGAAUCAACUUUGCUAUGUUAACUUGCAAGAUUAUCAGAUCAAUCUGCAGUUUACUUUAUCAUGAUGUCAUCUGACAUUCAACAUCGUUGUGCACUGACGCUAAGAUGAGAACGCAGAAUAGCUGUAAACUCUGGGACGUGGAGUUUCUACUCUCGGCUCAAUGUGCCUAACCGAAAAAUAGUACUCCCUCUGUCCCAUAAUGUAAGGCUUUUUUGACACUGGAUGAGUGAGUAACGAAAAUCAAGAAAGUAUGAACACUUUUGGCAACAAGCAUUGCUGAAUUUUCUACAUACGCGUAAAUGUUCAUAAACCUAAUGCUCUGGGCAAAAAAAAUUCAAAAUCAAUGCUCCAAAAAAGCAAUUUUGGAGUGCUGAUUUUUUUAUUUCUCACCAAACCUCCACAAAUGUGAUUUCAUCACGGAAAUUUGCUGUCAGAAAACAAAGCAACGUUUGUUGUAAAAAAAUCAUUUUUUUUCUUUUUCCCUAUUUUUGGAUUUUUACUGUUCACAGCAAGAGCAUUUGGGCUCAGGAUUAGAAGACCACUUUUGCAACUCUGCUCGUAAGUUCGGACAGUUGGACUGUAAAAUUCAGAAUGAAAAUAAAAUGCAAGGAAAUGAUGGAUCCAUUUUCUGCCAAUCCAUAAUUGAUAUGCAGUUGACUUGGAUAACUGACUGUUCCUUCAUGAUGCUGGUACGACAGCGCAAUAGACUAAGAAAGACCAGAAAAAACCAUAGAUUAGUUCCGAGAUACAGCAGCCCGUGAACCACCAAUGGCUGGGCCAAAAGCAGUCGCGCUACGAGGACUCGGUCUCCUCACUAGUCACUACAGGCUACAACUACAUCUCCGAUGCGAAAUAAACAUAAAUAGUUCACUUCAGCAAAGAAAGAACUAUCUUACACACUGAGAUACCACGACAUAGGGAUAAACAGGCUAUGCAUCACCACACUGUUAACUGACGUCAGCGCAGCUGCAGUAUUAGGCCUUUGCUGUUUCUCUCACUAGAGCAAACUUGGCCAGAAGGCCAGAAAGCUGAAGGAAUGACCCAACGCCAUCACAGAUCCUCAUGUGAGCAAAUCCUGUUUCCUGCACGAACAAACAUGAAAAUUUAGUUGGUGGGAUAAAUCAGAAGGGACAAUGGCAUAAACAACAAGGCUGGGUUUACCUUAAGCAACUCCAGCUUCAGAAAUUCAGCCAUGUCAUAAUUCUUGAUGACACGGAAGAGAGUAGUGAUUAUGUCGGUAGGAGAGUAGCCCAAAUCAUAGAGUUGCUUUAGGCCAGAGCAGGCCUCAUCAAACUUCCCAUCGAGUACAUUUUUCACCAUACUCUUGACAUGCAAGGGAUGUGGUUGAUCGCAUACCUAGAACCGGUUCAUUGUUAGUGCUGAUUGAAGAGGUAUUGCAGAACUCAGAUGAUGCAGAAUGAGAUAGCUUGUGCCUACCUUGAACACAUUUUCUUGAUUAACAAAACGAAACCCACUAACUGUAGCUUGCAAAUUGUUCAGAGCUUGCCUCAUGUCACCAUCAGCAGUAAAAAUGAUGGCUUCAAGACCUUCUGGCACAUAAGGGACCUUCAUUGAACAAGAAUAGAUAUGUUAGAUACAGUUAAACCAGUGCACCCCAGAACUAACAAACAGAAUAUUAUUUAGGGGUGUUCGGAUCACACCCUAGUUUCAAGGAUUAACAAACUUUCAGGCAAUAAGAACAAAUAUAGUGAUAUCAAGAUGAUCAAAUGGAUUUCAACACAACAAAAUAAAAAUAAAACGGAAAUUUACUGAAAACAACUGGGAGUUGCCUGUUUGAAGUCUUGCAGGUAAGCAAGCUCCUGGAGAGGUUUCAUAUUGACCAUCCUUGUUACCCAAUUGGCAGAAUAAUAAGUUUAUCAAUCAAACGACUUGGUCUUUUGAACAUUUUAGUAAGACACUGAAAAAUGGAAGCCUGGAUGCUCCUUUUAUUAAAAAAAAAACAAUUUAGGAUGACAAAAUAGGAUAUGCACCACUUGACUCGACCAGUCAGAGCCUCAAAGUACAUGCAGUGAAGUAGUUAAGCGGGUACUUUUUAAGACCGAACUGACUUAUCCUCAUGGGAUAGACUAAGCGUGUGCUUUUCUUUAACCAUCAGUUCACAAUAACGUCCACUCCACAUGCACUAGCUGUCAUACAAUCUUAAUUAACUGGUUCUGAAAAUAACAACCUCUUGAGCAAGAACACUCAAGUAGCAUUAAAAUAUUUAACUGAGCCAAUUACUUAAUAUUAGGAUUUAGGAAUCAGAAGCAUUCACGGUUAAAUAACAUAUCGGCAGCAAAGGCUACAUGAUCAGGUAAGAAUUAAGAGCAGUAGUCAAGCCACCAAAUUGUGACACCAGCAAGAUGCAUAUCUCAAUUGCUCAUGGUGGUUGGAAUUGAUACCCUAAAUUACAGCUACUUGAUAUCAGCAUCCCAAGUAAGCUCUCCAACUAGGAAAUACUUCUUCACAAUACCAAACUAAGCCUGUUCUAUUAAGGUACCCUUUAAUUCUUGUGCGGUUGUAGUUCUGCUUUUCCAGCUAGUAAAGAAAAAGGCUAGUUUCGUUUUCCUUUAACUGUGGAAGGCGACUAUCACCUGAGUACUCAAUAUAAUUAGUAUACAUGUAUUAAGAUCACUAUGCAGAGAUAAAAAGCACGGUGAAAGGCUAAAAGUGAAUGGCAAGCGAUAUUAGAAGAAAAUUAAUACAGGCAAACAUAUCCUCAAUGCUAUAGAAAAUAACAAAACAUAUGUAGGGUCAUGUAUCUGAAAGGGGUUCUCUUGUAAUCUUUAGUUAGUGCCAAAGCACCUUAAAUUAAUAAUAACUCAAGGUGGUUGGAACAUUAUGCAUAUGAGAUCCCCCUGUAAGGAUUUCAGCAGUUCACAUGGAUAAAAACAUCCAGGAGUCCAAAUUGGACAGUUAUGGUUACAUAAACAAAGCAGUUAAGUACCAGCUUGAUCUUCUAGCUAAGGCAACAGAGACAGCACCCUCUAUAGCUAAGUUCUUGCAAAGUUGCAACUGCCAGAGCUACUAAACAUUACCUUUUCAGCAGCCACCACGACCAUAAGGCGGCCAAGGAUCUCCUGAUCUGAAAGCCUCGAGAACCGGACAAUAGCACAUCGACUUUGGAUGGGUUCAAUGAUUUUAGAUGAAGUAUUGCAUGCAAGAGCAAAUCUUGUGGUGUUGGAAUAAAUCUCCAUGGUUCUUCUCAGUGCUUGCUGUGCCCCUGUUGUCAUGCUGCACAUAGUAAACAGAAAUUAAAAAAUAGUUACCAAUACCACUGAACAACAUUUUGAGCUAUAACUCGAGCUCUUAAAAAUAUUGUAAUACUACACUUGCGGAUGGAGUUGCCACCUAUACCAUGUGUUACUGUGAUGAUAAACAUUUUGGUGCGAUAAUCAUAUCAGAGUGUUUGCUUUUUGGGGUGAUGUCCAUUGACAUUUCCACUUGUAUUCUGUUUAGGGGCGAUUGACAUGUCUGUGUAUUCAGCAAGCUCUGAUGAGUGGGCCCAUCAUGUAAGAUUUUCUAUCAAAUGAGACGUUUGGGCUAUAUGAAGUUGUGAUUCUGAGUAAUUCACUACUUCCUCCGUAUCAAAAUAUAAGACGUUUUUUUAUACUAGAUUUUGGAGUUUGUAUAUUUUGUGGCAAUUGUGUUGAGUACUGUCCAACAAGUUGUUUAUCAAUGACUGAAGAAUAUGAACUUUCUACCUAUUAUUGUCAUGAAUUGAAUAAAGUCGGUAACCAAUCUCCAUAACGGGAGAUUACACAAUUCAAACAAUUAGGAAUUCGUCUGAAAGUAAAUAGUAUCAAAAAACGUCUUAUAUUUUGAUACGGAGGGAGUAUUAUCUUUAAUAUAUACAUGUAGGGUUUCCCCUGCCUAUUUUCAUAGAAAAAUACGAUAAGUCGAUAACCUCUAUCUAGUUCAUUGUAAUGCAGGCCUGUCAUUGGUUCACAAUCCAGUAUGAAUCAUACCAUUCUCAAAUGUGAAACCAACCGACGGUGAGCUAUCAACAAGGUCACUGGCAGGGACGGAUUCAGGGGGGGGAGACCCCCCCUGACGAUUCCUUCCCCCCUCGAUAGCAAUCAUGAUUUUGGCUAAUUACGCAUGUUUCCAUUCGUGUUCGCCCCCCCCCUAUUAACCGCUAACGUGUUACAGGCCAGAAGCCCAAAACCCAGACAGAGAUUUUAAAAAAAAGCCCACCGUUGAAGACAAGGGACUAGCACCCACGCGUGGCACAGUUAUGAUCUAAUCGCUUUCCCUAAAAAACUCUAACCGCUUUGUUUCCUAGCCGGCAGUCGCAGCCUCCUGCGAUCGAAGCGACGCUGCACGCCUGGGUGCAGCCUCCUGGUUAUUAACAUCAGAUUAGUUUGUGUCUUUCAAGUACAGAAGUAGAACCGUAGAAAUUACAAACAUCAGCACUAAAUCAGGAAUAGAUUUGUGGACAGAUUGUAUGUUCAGUUUCGUAUUUCUCAAAAAAAGUUAGUUCAGUUCUAAGAAAUUAGAGCGAAGAAACUAGCAGACAAGUUCAGUUUUGACAAAUUUAUGUAAACAUUGGUUUUCAUACUCUAAAGCUGAAGUUAAGUUAAUAGAUAUGUAAUAUUCAUUCGGAUCGUUCGACGGUGUGAAUAUUUCAGUCAUAUAUACUAGUUUAUAGUAUUCAAUAUGCAAUGCCUUCUAUGAUUUAAGUGCUUCCAGUUCUUGCCCCCCCCCCCCCCGCCAUCUGAAAUUCCUGGCUGGUCACUAGUAUUUCCUUUUGUUUCUCGAGCUACCACCAAGGCCUGGCUCCCAGUCUGGGGAUGGCAUUUACCUGUCAGCCUCGUCCAGUAUGACGAUCUUGUGCCGUCCCGGCGGUAGUGUGACCUUCUUCUGCGCGAACAUCUUUAUCUUGUUCCGCACCACAUCAAGCCCCCUGCAAAAGCACGGAUCGACCAUCACACGACCAAUUCAUACAGCCACGAACCGACGGUACAAAAUCAUGUCACGGCAGCAGCAACCUGUCGUCCGAGGCGUUGAGCUCGAGCACGCCCUCUCGGUAGCUGGGCCCGAGCAUCUCGUGGGCCAGCGCCAGGAUGCUCGUCGUCUUCCCGGUCCCCGGAGGCCCCUGGCGAAAAAAUACAUGGGAGUAGAGGAGACGGGGGUGAGCUUUCCGUGUUGCGAGGGUGCGCGCGGAAGGUGUUCGAGGAAAUGGCGCUUACGGAGAGGAUGAGGUUGGGCAUGUUGCCGUCGCGGGCGAUGACCUCGAGGCGGCUGACGGCGUCGGCGUUGCCGACGACAUCCGCGACGCGGCUAGGGCGGUACUUCUCCACCCACGGGAUGUCGUACGUGUCGGCGGGGGCGGGGGCGGCGGCGGAGGAGGAGGAGGCCAUGGCGCUGGGGUGGGUUGAGCGGAGGGAGGGAAAACCUUGCGGUUGUGGAGGGAAAAAGUGGGGAAAUUGCCGAGCCAGCGGCGCGCGAGGGUUUUCAUUUCGGCCCUCGGUCUCGGUCGCUUUCAAGACGACCACCCGAGUGGACGGCUGCGAUCGACUACACGAUUCUGGGCAUUUUUAUAUUGAUACAAACAAAUAUAUUGUUUUUUUUUGUGUGCCGGAAAACAAAUACUCCCUCCGUUCCUAAAUAUAAGUAUUUUAAGCGAUUUCACUAUGGACUACAUACAAAACAAAAUGAGUGAAUCUACACUUUAAAGAUGUCUAUAUACAUCCGUAUGUAGUCCUUUAAUGAAAUAUCUAAAAAGACUUAUAUUAUGGAACGGAGGGAGUAUAUUGUUAAAACAAAGGGGACUGAUAAGCGUUGGCCCCUGAACGUGUGAUACGCGUCCACCACCUCGACACCCGUUGGAUUCAUACGCGGACAGCAUACGAUCGAUCUCGUAUUCUCGUGUCCAGCAACAACGGUUUUUGUUGCACAAACAUUUAUAACACAGAUUCUGUUACAUAUUUCUGUAACAACGGCUUUGUUGCAAAAACAUUUAUAACAUAGAUUGUGUUGUAGAUUUCCGCAACAACGACUUUGUUGCAGAAUCAUUUAUAACAAAUAUUGUGUUGCAUAAUUUUGUGCAACAAAGGUUGCGUUACAUUUUUUUUGUAACACACGUUGUGUUGUGGAUUUUUUUUUAACAAAGAUAUUGUUGCAAAAACACCACCCAUGUUGCGUGCCUCGAGUGCGUCAUUGCCGGCCGCAACAUAGCAAUAGCGUUGUCGUUCCUGAUCAUGUGCAGAAGCACACGGAUAGUGAGACCUCGCGUGAGAAGAAACUUGAAGGGAAGGCUGACAUGGGCCUACCUCGCCGGUGAACGAUGGUUGCCGGCGCGGGUCGAUGGCAAGCACGGACGUGUGUGUGUGCGCGCGUCUCGGCGACUGGCUAGCUCGGGUGCGCAGCAGCGUUGCAACCAGUGAGGGCGGUGUUGCUAUCGGAAUUGCUUGGAUGUGGCACACACUGAUCAAGGGAAAGAAAAGAUCGGUUGGGGAAAAGAUAAGAUAGGAACACAUGUCAAGUAUUGAAGGUGAUGGAUGCCGAGUGCUGGAUCUGUUGGCUGAUGGGAAUAGUUUCCCUAAAACAAAUAUAUACUUGGGCCAAUUCCAUUUCCCCCUAACUUCGUCUCGAGCCAUCUUUAUCCCUAAUAAAAAACAGUGCUCAACUUUGCCCCUCUUUCGUUAGAUGGCGUUAUGUAAAUACCCUUCGUGUCAUUUUCGUCCGGUCAAAGUGGUUUGACCGUUAUCGAGACAUUUCCUCGACAUAGUUUUUCUAUUGGAAAUAUGCCCUAGAGGCAAUAAUAAAUUAAUUAUUAUUAUAUUUUUUUGUUCAUGAUAAUCAUUUAUUAUUCAUGCUAGAAAUGGUAUUGAUUGGAAAUUAAAAUACAUGUGUGGAUACAUAGACGACACACUGUCCCUAGUAAGACUCUCAAGGACUAGCUUGUUGAUCAAAGAUGGUCAAGGUUUCCUGACCAUAUACAUGGGAUGUAGUUUGAUAACAAGAUCACAUCAUUAGGAGAAUGAUGUGAUGGACAAGACCCAAACUAUGAACGUAGCAUAUGAUCGUGUCCCUUUAUUGAUAUUGUUUUCUGCAUGUCAAAGUGUCUGUUUCUAUGACCAUGAGAUCAUGCAACUCCCGGACACUGGAGGAAUAACUUGUGUGUGUCAAACGUCACAACGUGACUGGGUGACUCUAAAGGUGUUGUACAGAUAUCUCCUAAGGUGUCUGUUGGGUUGGCAUGGAUCAAGGCUGGGAUUUGUCACUCCGUGCGACGUAGAGGUAUCUCGGGGCCCACUCGGUAAUACAACAUCACAACAAGCCUUGCAAGCAAUGUGACUAAGGAGUUAGUCACGGGAUUUUGUAUUACGGAACGAGUAAAAAAGACUUGUCGGUAAUGAGAUGGAACUAGGUAUAAAGAUACCGAUGAUCGAAUCUCGGGUAAGUAACAUAUCGAUGGACAAAGGGAAUAGUAUACGGGAUUAACUGAAUCCUUGACAUAGAGGUUCAACCAAUGNNNNNNNNNNNNNNNNNNNNNNNNNNNNNNNNNNNNNNNNNNNNNNNNNNNNNNNNNNNNNNNNNNNNNNNNNNNNNNNNNNNNNNNNNNNNNNNNNNNNUACGAAUGCAGUAGGUGGAGGUGACAAAGUGCCUAGCUUCAAUCCACAUUACUUGAAUCAAUGAUAUUUAGCUCAUGCCUUAACUCCCGGAACCUUGCUUCAUCUAGGGGCUUAGUGAGAAUAUCUGCAAGUUGCUCUUCAGUGUGGAUGAAGUGAACCUCAAUAUCACCAAGCUUGAUAUGUUCACGAAUGAAGUGAUGGCGAAUAUCAAUAUGCUUGGUCUUGCUAUGUUGCACUGGGUUGAGGGAAAUCUUGAUAACACUUUGAUUGUCACAUAGAAGAGGCACUUUGUCACAAGUGACACCGUAAUCCUUUAAAGUUUGCCUCAUCCAUAGCAAUUGUGCACAACAACUUGCAGCUGCCACAUACUCAGCUUCGGUGGAUGAUAGUGAGACACAAUUCUGCUUCUUUGAAGAUCAGCUUACCAGUGAGCGACCAAGGAAUUGGCAUCCUCCAGAAGUUGACUUCCUCUCCACACAAUCUCCUGCCCAAUCUGAGUCAGAAUAGCCCACUAGGUUGAAGUUUGCUCCUUUGGGAUACCAUAGACCAAAGUUUGGGGUAUGAGCCAAAUAUCGAAAGAUUCGCUUAACAGCCAUGUAAUGACUUUCUUUUGGUGCGGAUUGAAACCGUGCACAUAUCCCUACACUCAACAUAAUAUCUGGUCUAGAUGCACAAAGGUAAAGGAGGGAUCCAAUCAUGGAGCAAUAUAUCUUUUGAUCCACUGCUUUACCAUUGGGAUCACUAUCAAGCUUGCAUGCNNNNNNNNNNNNNNNNNNNNNNNNNNNNNNNNNNNNNNNNNNNNNNNNNNNNNNNNNNNNNNNNNNNNNNNNNNNNNNNNNNNNNNNNNNNNNNNNNNNNGAUGAGUAAUUGUCCACGUAAGAGGAGCCACACGAGCUCAUCUACAAUGUGGAAAAUCAACAUUAAACUACUUUGCAUCCAACAUAAAAGCUCAAGUUCAUCUAUUUUUACCUUUGGGAUUUUUUUCGAACACCUUGCUUGCGAGGUGGAAGAGAUCGGCCGGCGGUGCGGUCAGCAGCCAGGCGACGGAGCGGUCAGCAGCCGGGAGCAGUUAGCCGACGACGGAGCGGAGCGGAGCAGGCGGGCGGUGGAGGGGAGUGAUACGUCUCCAACGUAUCUAUAAUUUUUUAUGGUUUCAUGCUAUUAUCUUGUCAAACUUUGGAUGUUUUGCAUGCCUUUUAUAUAUUUUUUGGGACUAACUUAUUAACUCAGUGCCAAGUGUCAGUUCUUGUUUUUCCCAUGUUUUUGACCCCUUUCAGAGGAGAUUUUGAAACGGAGUCCAAACGGAAGAAAAUCCCCGAAAAGAUUUUUUUCUGGAACGGAAGAAGAUCAGGAAGCUUGAGAGCCAAGGCAGGGGAGCCUCAGGGGCCCACAAGCCCCCACCCCGCGGCCAGGGGGGUAGGCCGCGCCACCCAGGCUUGUGGGCCCCUGAGCGCCCCCUCAUCUAGGGGUUGCGCCUAUAAAUUCCCUAAAAUCUCAAAAAAAUAAGGAGAUCAUUGAAAGUACUUUUCCGCCGCCGCAAGCUUCUGUCUCCGCAAGAUCCCAUCUGGGGCACGUCGUGGUGCCCUGCCGGAGGGGGGAUUCGGAUACGGAGGGCUUCUUCAUCAACACCAUGACCGCUCCGAUGAUGCGUGAGUAGUUCACCAUAGACCUACGGGUCCAUAACUAGUAACUAUAUGGCUUCUUCUCUCUCUUGGACCUUCAAUACAAAGUUCUCCAUGAUCUUCAUGAAGAUCUAUCCGAUGUAAUCCUCUUUUGCGGUGUGUUUGUCGAGAUCCGAUGAAUUGUGGAUUUAUAAUCAUAUUAUCUAUGAAUCUUAUCUGAGUUUCUUCUGAUCUCUCUUAUGCAUGAUUUCAUAUCCUUGUAAUUCUCUUCGAGUUGUGGGUUUUGUCNNNNNNNNNNNNNNNNNNNNNNNNNNNNNNNNNNNNNNNNNNNNNNNNNNNNNNNNNNNNNNNNNNNNNNNNNNNNNNNNNNNNNNNNNNNNNNNNNNNNAAAGAAUGAUCUAUUAACAUCCGAAUUUACGAAAAUUGGGAUGUUACAGAAGAUGGGUUGUCAAAAAAAGAUGGCACAUCAAGAUAAUAAAGCAUUGCGCAGAAAAUCAUAGUCCACGACAACCGUCGGUGAAAGAAGUUCGGCGGAUAAGGCACGAUGGACGUAGAUCGACAAUGCAAAAGAAAUCCAGAAAAUCCUAUAGAAAACAACAAGGGCAAGUAGGCCACAAAAGUUGCAUAGAAAGGAUCAGGACCAAAGAAAAGGCCGACGGACAAAGGUAUGGUGGACUCGCAUGACGUGAGAAACACAAAAUAUCAACGGGUUUGGUGGACACAACGAAAAACAAAGAAAACUAGAAAACACACACUAGACUAGGGAUGAUGGCAGCGGAAGAGAAAAAAUAAUAUCAUGGCGGCAAAGGCCAAAACCAAGCUCCUGUCUGUGAAGAGGGUUGACUCUCUGAGCUAAACCAGUCAACAACAAGACCAAUAGAACCUGUUGAAGAAGAAACUGAAGCUGCAAGCAGAUGCUUAAGUCACACAAUACCCUCCUCAGUCAGAGACACUCCUGAAGGAGUCGGGGUAGAAGUGCGAGUCCCUGAAGUCUCUGAACGUGGCUGGAUUAGUUGUCGUUUCUUCAAGUAGCAAUCAGGCUCGAGGUGACCAUUCGUGUUGCAGUAGCCACAGUGAGUACGAGGCGAUCCUUACCACCACCAGAAGAAGUGGGGAGGACUGGCGGGCUAGAGCAAAAAGUUGGUGCAGCAAACGACGUAGCAGGAGCACGAGCAGCGAGAACAGAGGGAACCUCAAGUAAACCAGCACCAUGAAGGCGAGUCUCCACAGCUUGAAUCUCAGAAAGCGCCUCCAUAAGAGUAAUACGGCCACGAGCAAACAACUGAGCGCGUCGUGGCUCAAAUUCCGAACGAAGUCGAGACAAGAACUCAUAGACGCGAUGAAAUUCCAAGUCAGCCCGCACAGCCUGGCAACACUUGCAAGUACGACAACCAGCAGUGCGAAGAGAGUCAAGCUGACGCCAAAUGGCAGAACUCUGGGCGUAGAAAUCGUCAACGGUGGAUUCACCCCUGAAGAGCAUGCUCGUGACGAACCACAGAUAAAUAUAAGGCAUCACCAGAGGGUUGAUAGCGCUGGCAAAAACAUGUCCACAUGGCAAAGGCGGUAGCGAGGCCCAUAAACUCAGAGGCAAACCGAGGCAAAACACUAGAUGUGAGAACAGCCGCAGCACGAGCAUCAUCAUCACACCACUUAGUGUAAGUAGAUAGAGCAUCACGAUAAAAGUGAAGAGACUCCUCAUAGAUCAAAACUUGUUGCUCAUAAGCACAAGCUGCAGACUCAUCAGCAAGCUUAGCUGCAUCCUUAGCAGUCUGAGGAGCAUCCGCAGCAAGAGACGAAGACUUAGGCGGAGUAGGAGCCACAGGAGAAACCGGGCACGGCAGACAGGAAACCUCACCAGAUAGAACACCGCAGAGACGAAUGCCACGCAUAUGAAUGCGAAAGAAACCAACAAACUCAGUGUGGUUUGUACCAUCAAAAGUCACCUGACAACGGGGAACAAGGACAUAGCCUGACGACAUUGGACCUGUUUUUUUUUUAUCAGAUGAAGCAGCCACGAUCCAGUCCAGCCAAAGCAACAAAACACAGCCGAACAGUUGUAGUCAACCGUAUCCAGAAGCCCAACGAAAACCAGCCAAGGAAUAACCAGCCAAAACGGAGACAGGGGCUGCUCACGAGGACGUGCAGGCGAGAAUCAGCAGCCGCAUGCGUAAAUCCAAUCCAAUACACAGACGGCUGCAACUCUGGAACGCACGCGCAGGCAGGCUGGUGUGCAUGUGAGCGAACAGAUCUGGCAGGAUUCACGCACGGGAAUCGGCUGGGAGGACGGGCGGACGCGCGGUCAACACAGACGGAUCGGGCGGCGCGCUUGACGAACGUGGUGUUGGGAUGGGAGGACAGCAGCGAGCCGACUAGAGGAGAGGGUCGGUCGCGCAGGAUAACAACGUCGGCCGAGAGAAAAUGACGGCGGCGUGGGAUUGAAUCAGCACGAGUUGCGCGUGCGAAAAAAUAACCUAGGGCUCUAAUACCAUGUUAGGAAAGCAACUUAUCUUUAUUGAAGGCCCAAGGGGCAUAUAUAUAUUACACAAGACUUGAGGUGCAAGGAAAGUAAACAUAGACUAAUAAGGACACCUAAACCAAUACUAAUACUUCCUAACAAGUCUUGCCCGUGGAGCCGGGUCCACCCGUGGAGCGUGGGCACAAUGGGCUUGUCUCCUACAUGGAAGGUGCCCAUGAAUGUCACUGGGACUGGGAGGGCAUGGUUACUCGAAUAUCAAAAUCUAUACCUAAUAAUAAAGCGGCUAUUGCUUCCGUCGGAAAAUCCACCACGACAUUUUUAUAAAAAAGCCCCUGUAAUUUUUGUUAUUCAACCCGCGCUCCAUCAUUUAUCUGCAACGUAAAAGGAAAAAACGACUCGCUGCAAAAAUUAUACCCGUACGCAUCGCCUCCUCCCGUCGACCCUGGGCCACCCUGGCCUGUGCCCAGGCCGCCGCCACACCACUCGCCGCCNNNNNNNNNNAGUUUAGAAAAUUUGCAAAACCAAAAUGGUGACUUUAACUCACAGGGGAGAAGUCAUAUUAUCUCCACUCCGAUAAAUUGCCCGCAGUCACAUAACGAUAAAAAAAAUUCAGAGGAACGCAAUGAUGCAUAAAAUAUGGGAUGCAAAAGAAUGAUCUAUUAACAUCCGAAUUUACGAAAAUUGGGAUGUUACAUCUUCUCUUGAUACUUAUCUUGUAUCUUCAAGGGGUGCGGUGUCUACCUCUGAUGUGCCAUCUCUUCGUUAUCCCCUUUGGCUUGACUCGACAGGUUCUGAAAACUCUUCAUGCUACGACGACACUCUCAAGACGUGGAUUUGGAUUAUCAUUUUUUUAGUAUUACACCUUUUCAAAUGCAAUGCUAUUGCAUACGCUUUGCAUUUGAGGGGGGUGUUAGGAAGUAUUCGUAUUGGUUUAGGAGUCCUUAUUAGUCUACGUUUACGUUCCUUGCACCUCAAGUCUUGUGUAAUAUAUAUAUGCCCCUUGGGCCUUCAAUAAAGAUAAAUUGCUUUCCUAACAAGACUGACAUCUUCUCAUAUGUGUUUUGGACACCCAAAAUUAUUAAAAUAAACCUUUGGUUAUGGAGGAGUUAUGCUUGGUGUAGUGCCGACCUGCAUGUAGAAAACUUUGAUUCUACGACCAUGAAAGCAUUUGAUUAAAAUGAACACAAUUGGGCAUCUAGAAAACGCAGGUCAGAGAUGCAUUGCUGAAAGGGUUUAACGAAAUACCCAGUCAUGCAGUUUGGGAAGGAGUGGUAACCAAAAUGUGUUACCUGAAGGGUGUUGAGUUUCACGCAUAAUUUUGGGACUGUCAAAUUGUUCAAUUUAUUAGCCACCUUUUCUUCACGAACUGUAGGCUCAAUAAAUUUCCUUUUGGCAAAUGGAUUAACUGAUUCCGCAUAACGGGUCAAGACUGGCGCAACAGGAAGCAGGGUGGCUCUAGAAACUGCAAUCGAGAAAUGACAGAUGAAGAAAAAACAGUUAUUGAUACAACCAAGCAAAAGUAAUUAAUACAGUUUUAGAAGAUAAAAAAAAUGUAGAUGUUAUAUAGUACUUGUGAAACUGCUACAUGCUGUUCUGCUGGAUAAGUAUUAGCACAUUGGUUAAAAGAAAAGAUGAUGGUUGUAGCGAUAUCCCACAGCCUCUAGGAUGUAGUCAGCAAAUGUAUCAGUCUUUUGAUUAGUUGGUUUCGUUCAUGUAUGUUUUCAGUUUUUUUAUCUGCACAAAGUUAGGGACUACGAUGACACAGGCGGUUAAACAACUCAUGCAAUUAAAAAUAGCUUCUAUAGGCUAUAGCAAUGCAUCAGUAUUUAACUUCCGUAGCAAUGCACGAGUAUUUAGCUGGUAUGUCUAAUAAUCAAAACUACUAAAUAUGUACUGAAAGCGGUACCACAUGAUGUUUCACAUUAAAUUGCAAGAAUAUCAACACAGAUAUCUCAUGAUGCCCAUUGACAGAUCUGUUAAUAGUAAACGUAGUCACAAGGCUGCACAAGUAACACUAGCGUCAGCGUGGUACAGUAUGAUGCCGACUCAGUGUAGUCUUCUUCUAAGAUCAUUUGAGGUCAACAGUUCACGUAUAAAGUGAGCAGUUCCAUUGACACACCUGAUGUGAUGACAUUAGGACUCAUGUUGGUUACUUUCUGUCAUACCUACUACAAAUGUACUGUACAAAUGAGACCUCGUGGGUCCAAGAUAGUGCAUUGGCAUUUACGCAGAAUUAAGGCAUACCUUGUUGGUUUUCCAUGUGAAGCAGAUAGACUUGAAGGCUGCUAGUGAUUCCUAUAAGCAGACUCCGCAGGUGGACAAUAUCCAGAGGUAGACUUGAGUUAAAAAACUGAUCAAUUGUCUGCACAUAGAAUGAUCAGAUAAGCCCAAAACCAAUAUAAGAGUAUUAACUGAAUAAAAAUAAGGAAAAAUGUGAGUUUGUAGUAGAACAGCCGUCAGAUUAUUAUUGUUUUUUGAAGAACUUCAACAUUCAGGCAGUGACUGGAAAUAUUGAAGAUUCUGCCUCCAUAAUGAACUUUCCAAUGACCAAUAUUCAGAUUGCGUUAAGAUCAGAUAGCAUAUUUUUUAAGGGAAGCCCCGGCAAUAUAAAUAGGAGCCUAAAUCUGAGUCCAUGAUGACAAACCCAGGUGGUGAGAUUGUACAUCCACUCCCCCAACCAAGUGAGCUAGGCUCGUUUCCUAGUAAUCACCAUGUUUACUACACCCUCCGAUCCAAAUUGAGUGAUGCACCUUUAGUACAGCUUUAGCACAAAGUUGUACUAAAGAUGCGUCAAUUAAUCUUGAUCGGAGGGAGUAAUAAGUUUGCACCAAGUCAUCCGAAAGCAAGAGAUUUUUUUUCUUCUCUUCAUUUUCUUUAGGAACAUAAAAUAUGGUGGUAAAUGAGUUCAUUGGAAGAAAAGCUGACCUCCUCCACAAUCCGGAAGACUUCAACCAUAGAUGUCGCUAGUUUCCUGUGAACUGACAGAGGCUCCCAAUUCUAUGGACCAGAGAUGAAACAACAGCCCGCGUGAACAAUUUGUCUUGGAGACUUAAAAGAAGACAAAAAAAAAAUACAUACGAAAGGCAAACAAAGCAAAUUUAUGAUGCAUAACAAAAGUUUGAAGAGUUAGCUAUUAAAGAGGAAUCUUAAAUAGAAAAAAUUGAAGUCACCAAUUAAAGAAUGUCACAUGGGCUACCAUCAUCUUCUUGCGGACGCCAGUACUAGUCACAGAGUUAUGUCAAUAACAACAACCAUAUGUGUCUGAUUAUUACAUAUGUAGCACCAGUUCAGUUUUGUUGAACGUACCAUGCCAGUUUCAAUAAAAUCAACACUAAGCUAUCCCACUAAGGUUGUUCAAAUCUGACGUUGUGGUUAAUAUUAUUAUCUUGUCACAAUAAAUAAAGCUUGAAUUUUCUUCUUUCUUUGCAAGAUUCAACCUGACUGCAAGACUGUAACUACCAAUUUAACAGCAUAAAAUGCAUUGAACUAGCAAGCAGGUUACUGUAUGAACCAUGUGGCACUAAAAAUGAAUGUGAUCAAAUUUGCAGCAAACAAUACCCGCAUGCACAAUUUUACAAUCACGAUACAUCUACAGAGGAACUUUCCUAUUUUCCAUGUAUCAAUGCAAAGAAAAUACAGAAUCAUUUUCAGGAUGUUCUAGCAUAAUUAACCAUGCACUAAAAACCUUAGCAGUGAAUUCUGCAUAGGAUAACAAACCUCAAUCUCAAUGGUACGCUUUGUCCACUCCAAAACAUUCUCGUGUUGAGCAUGAAGCCACUGAAGAAUGAUGGGUGAAGAAAAACGAUCUAUCUGUAUAAAAUUUAAAAGGUGUCAUUCAGUCCAGCAUAAUGUGGAAAUGCCACUUGGCACACCAAUGCAGUUUGAUCCAAACUAAAAAUGAGACCAAGUGAUAUCUCAUUGUUGUACUUUAAUUUUUGUCUUAUAAGUAAAUGUUAAGAGGGGUCGUGGUAGACCAAACUUGACAUGGGAUGAGUCCGUUAAGAGAGACCAUAAUGUGUAUAAUUUUAUUUCAUUUUGUGCCAAGUGUAUAAAUAAUUGUCUUAGAAUUGUAAUAAGAUUAGGUUUUGAAGUUAUGAAUAAACUACUAGGGAAGACAUUACGUCAAGAUGCUUGUGUCAAGAAAAAGCAAAGCAUCUACGAAAUCAGGAUAGCUUGGCAGUUUGACAAGCACAAUAAAAAAGGUUCUUAGUGUUAGGAAUAAGCAACUUGUAUUCCCAUGAGGCCAUAGACCGAUAUAUAUACAUGUACAGGUGAUGGACUAUAUGCAGGAAACCCCUUAUAUAACGGGAUAAAUACAAAAGGAUACAUGGCUAUAUUAUAUCUACUCUAACACCCCUCUCAAACUCAUGGUGGAUGAACAACACUAAGUUUGAAGAGAUAGAAGCCAUGUUGUGCUCUAGUCUUGGCCUUCGUCAGAAAAUCUGCCAACUGUAACUCGGAAGGCACAUACUGAAGAGCAAUAACCUGAUCCUGCACACCAGCGCGCAUAUAGAAAGCAUCAACACUAAUAUGCUUGGUGAGGUCAUGCUUCACAGGAUCGCGCGCAAUGCUGAUAGCACUUGUACAGUCAGAUAAGAGCAGAGUCGGUGUAGUGACAGAAACACCAAAAUCCUGAAGUAACCACCGUAACCAAGUCACCUCUGCCGUCAAAAGAGCCAUCGCACACAACUCAGCCUCUGCACUCAAACGGGAAACUGCGAUCUGUUUCUUCGUCUUCCAGGCAAUGAAAGAACCACCAAGAAAAACACAGUAAGCAGAAAGUGAACGGCGAUCCAAA
This 26897-nucleotide long non-coding RNA is filed under the name Hordeum vulgare. RNAcentral describes it as "long non-coding RNA (HVUL_LNC005372)". Lineage: Eukaryota; Viridiplantae; Streptophyta; Magnoliopsida; Poales; Poaceae. The record is from RNAcentral.